GGGUUGUGAGGUUAAGCGACUAAGCGUACACGGUGGAUGCCCUGGCAGUCAGAGGCGAUGAAGGACGUGCUAAUCUGCGAAAAGCGACGGUAAGGUGAUAUGAACCGCUACAGCCGUCGAUGUCCGAAUGGGGAAACCCAGUGCACUUCGGUGCAUUAUCGUUAACUGAAUACAUAGGUUAACGAGGCGAACCGGGGGAA
This 200-nucleotide ribosomal RNA is filed under the name Pantoea dispersa. RNAcentral describes it as "partial 23S ribosomal RNA". It matches the Rfam family "Bacterial large subunit ribosomal RNA", at positions 1 to 192 of the family's 2925-position model. The record is from RNAcentral. Lineage: Bacteria; Pseudomonadati; Pseudomonadota; Gammaproteobacteria; Enterobacterales; Erwiniaceae.